ACGCUGGUGGUCCGCGGCGAGGACGGCUCCGUCCGGGCCGUCGUCGGCGGCGACGGCGAGCUGCCGGAGGGCCCGUUCCGCCCCGGGGCCGACGGCC
RNAcentral lists this transfer RNA (97 nucleotides) under Kitasatospora phosalacinea. Its description in RNAcentral is "tRNA-Pro". Lineage: Bacteria; Bacillati; Actinomycetota; Actinomycetes; Kitasatosporales; Streptomycetaceae. The record is from RNAcentral.